This 447-nucleotide ribosomal RNA is filed under the name uncultured bacterium. RNAcentral describes it as "bacterial SSU rRNA". It matches the Rfam family "Bacterial small subunit ribosomal RNA", at positions 355 to 825 of the family's 1533-position model. The record is from RNAcentral.
UCGGGAAUUUUGGGCAAUGGGCGAAAGCCUGACCCAGCAACGCCGCGUGAAGGAUGAAGUAUUUCGGUAUGUAAACUUCGUAAGAAUAGGAAGAAUAAAUGACGGUACUAUUUGUAAGGUCCGGCUAACUACGUGCCAGCAGCCGCGGUAAUACGUAGGGACCAAGCGUUGUUCGGAUUUACUGGGCGUAAAGGGCGCGUAGGCGGUGUGUCAAGUCAGUUGUGAAAUCUCCGAGCUUAACUCGGAACGGUCAACUGAUACUGUCACACUAGAGUACAGAAGGGGCAAUCGGAAUUCUUGGUGUAGCGGUGAAAUGCGUAGAUAUCAAGAGGAACACCUGAGGUGAAGACGGGUUGCUGGGCUGAUACUGACGCUGAGGCGCGAAAGCUAGGGUAGCAAACGGGAUUAGAUACCCGCGUAGUCCCUGAGCGGGCUGGCAAGGCGCAU